This is a long non-coding RNA of Callithrix jacchus (white-tufted-ear marmoset), 983 nucleotides long. The record is from Ensembl. NCBI's taxonomy places the organism in Eukaryota, Metazoa, Chordata, Mammalia, Primates, Cebidae.
GUUUGGAAUAUUGGGCAAGUCUCCAUUUUCUCAUCAACAAAAUUGUGUCACGGUCCUGUCGGUUUUCCGUGUGUCUGUGACGGUGUGGCCUUUAACGUGGGACCAGGCACCUUCUCCAAGAGCCACUACUGGGCCUUCGGGGUGUCCAGCCCCCUUCCAGGUACGUGGAUGGCGGGUCCCGGAGCCCUUACCGCGCCAUGUCAUCCGCUCCUGAGCUGCGGGUGCGGCCUGGAGGGUGGCACCUGCCGCCGGGCUUGGCUGGAGCAGGGUUUCCCGGUCUCCGAGGGUGGCUUGGGGGGCUCCGUUCACGCACUUUGGCAAGAGCGGAGGAGGGCGCGGCCCUUAGAAACGCCACCUGUGCCCUUCCUGCCCGAGAAGUGUCUCCCCGACGCCCGUUUGCAGACUCUGCCCUGGGCCGGGCUCCCCAGAGGAGCGCACCUGAGAGGGGACGUCGGGUCACCCACCCACCCCCGACCCUCCCGCCGCCCAAGCCAGAAAGGCGUCCACUCCCUGCUCGGGCGUUUGUGACAAGUGCGUUUAUUCGUGUUAGAAAUACAAACGUGGGAAUCCGAAUACAAAUACUGGGGGCGCGGCGGGGGCAGACGCACGAAGCGGGGCACGGGCCGCCCGUGUCGCCAAGGCACGUCGGGCGCAGGUGCACCCUCAUUUCACUGGGACGCCACGAGCCGCGCAGGGAGCGGGACACACCGGGGGACCCGUCGCGGGACCAGGACACCGGCCAAGUGGAUCAACUUGACCAGAAUGCACGAAUGACCACGGAGUCGCCCAGGGCGGCCCCGAGUCACAACAGCGAGCUCAGGGGCCCUGGGAAGGAGGAAGGCUCCUGCGGACGCCAGAGAGACUCCGGACCAGGUAGUGAAGCUGCAUUUUUUUUUUCUUUAAGGAAAAAACAUGAUCCCACUGUGUCAGGAAAUAUACAGAUGGCCACUUUCUUUCUCUCUGUCGCUUCUUUUUUAUCCUAA